This 765-nucleotide long non-coding RNA is filed under the name Homo sapiens (human). Its description in RNAcentral is "non-protein coding lnc-TCEA1-1:4". Lineage: Eukaryota; Metazoa; Chordata; Mammalia; Primates; Hominidae. The record is from RNAcentral.
GUGAGGGAAACCUAAGUCCGCCAGGAAAUCGCCUUAUUGUCACCUCGCACUCUUAUCCUCAAUGAAAGAAGUUUGAAGAUUGAGUGUCCUACAAGGUGAUUUUCCUGCAUGGAUUGGGAGAUACUGGUAAAAGCUUUGAUUGAUCAAGAAGUGAAGAAUGGCAUUCCUUCUAACAGAAUUAUUUUGGGAGGGUUUUCUCAGGGAGGAGCUUUAUCUUUAUAUACUGCCCUUACCACACAGCAGAAACUGGCAGGUGUCACUGCACUCAGUUGCUGGCUUCCACUUCGGGCUUCCUUUCCACAGUGCCACGGGGAUUGUGACCCUUUGGUUCCCCUGAUGUUUGGUUCUCUUACGGUGGAAAAACUAAAAACAUUGGUGAAUCCAGCCAAUGUGACCUUUAAAACCUAUGAAGGUAUGAUGCACAGUUCGUGUCAACAGGAAAUGAUGGAUGUCAAGCAAUUCAUUGAUAAACUCCUACCUCCAAUUGAUUGACGUCACUAAGAGGCCUUGUGUAGAAGUACACCAGCAUCAUUGUAGUAGAGUGUAAACCUUUUCCCAUGCCCAGUCUUCAAAUUUCUAAUGUUUUGCAGUGUUAAAAUGUUUUGCAAAUACAUGCCAAUAACACAGAUCAAAUAAUAUCUCCUCAUGAGAAAUUUAUGAUCUUUUAAGUUUCUAUACAUGUAUUCUUAUAAGACGACCCAGGAUCUACUAUAUUAGAAUAGAUGAAGCAGGUAGCUUCUUUUUUCUCAAAUGUAAUUCAGCAAA